UACGGAGGAUCCGAGCGUUAUCCGGAUUUAUUGGGUUUAAAGGGUGCGUAGGCGGGGAAUUAAGUCAGUGGUGAAAGUUUGCAGCUUAACUGUAAAAUUGCCAUUGAAACUGAUUUUCUUGAGUACAAAUGAGGUAGGCGGAAUGUGUUGUGUAGCGGUGAAAUGCAUAGAUAUAACACAGAACACCAAUUGCGAAGGCAGCUUACUGGGAUGUAACUGACGCUGAGGCACGAAAGCGUGGGGAUCAAACAGG
RNAcentral lists this ribosomal RNA (253 nucleotides) under uncultured bacterium. Its description in RNAcentral is "partial 16S ribosomal RNA". It matches the Rfam family "Bacterial small subunit ribosomal RNA", at positions 524 to 776 of the family's 1533-position model. The record is from RNAcentral.